RNAcentral lists this ribosomal RNA (486 nucleotides) under uncultured bacterium. Its description in RNAcentral is "partial 16S ribosomal RNA". It matches the Rfam family "Bacterial small subunit ribosomal RNA", at positions 30 to 507 of the family's 1533-position model. The record is from RNAcentral.
AUUGAACGCUGGCGGCAUGCCUUACACAUGCAAGUCGAACGGCAGCACGGGUGCUUGCACCUGGUGGCGAGUGGCGAACGGGUGAGUAAUACAUCGGAACAUGUCCUGUAGUGGGGGAUAGCCCGGCGAAAGCCGGAUUAAUACCGCAUACGCUCUACGGAUGAAAGCGGGGGAACUUCGGGCCUCGCGCUAUAGGGUUGGCCGAUGGCUGAUUAGCUAGUUGGGGGGGUAAAGGCCUACCAAGGCGACGAUCAGUAGCUGGUCUGAGAGGACGACCAGCCACACUGGGACUGAGCCACGGCCCAGACUCCUACGGGAGGCAGCAGUGGGGAAUUUUGGACAAUGGGCGAAAGCCUGAUCCAGCAAUGCCGCGUGUGUGAAGAAGGCCUUCGGGUUGUAAAGCACUUUUGUCCGGAAAGAAAUCCUUGGCUCUAAUACAGUCGGGGGAUGACGGUACCGGAAGAAUAAGCACCGGCUAACUACGUG